ACUCACAGCUACAAGACGAAAGAGUCACUUGUCUGAGCGGUCAUUGCAGGUUCGACGCUUCACUACUACUCUUCGAAGGCUAUUGACUGCUACAGCUUGUACACGUAAAAGUGUCAGUCGAAAUGAACAUAUGAUCGCAGUUGCUACACUGUCUUUUGCACAGUGUCGCUAUUGCUCUCGCAGAAGAGUGAAUCUGGAGCAUACAGCAGCUUAGGAGCGCGACUGUUUAAUUACAAGUCCAAAUUCGACUUCCGAAAUAUCGUGGCCAGCAAGUACGCGGCUGCUUGGAAACGUGGCAGGUACACAUGUGCUAUCAAUCCAUAGAUCCCGUAUAUAUCUUAUGCGAAGUACGUGGCAUGGACUCAAAUAUGGAACACGGUCUAAUGCUUUUAGUUAGCAAAGAAUGAAGGACUCUACACUAGAAUACGUCGUAAUAAUUAAUGUAAUAGCAUAUUCAUGGCCGUAGCAGCCGCUUUGUCAGUCUCGAUCAUUGAUUCAGACUUUCUCGGAGACGAUCUGGCAAUUAGGCCAACGAAGUUUCUGGAUCAAGGGACAGUGUUGCACACACCAGCAUUCGAAGCUGGAAUUGUGGCCGAGAACUUUUUAGUGCAGCCACUAGACGUGGUUGUUGGACAUGCCUGUACGGUCACAAAUGCCGGACAAUGUGUACAGUGUUCAGGAAGACAUGGAUGACAGUCGAUGUAGGUUUCUGCAUAUGUGACAUCCAAGAAGUGAUGAUUGCUUAUCAUGUGAUAUCUAGAAUCCGCUAAUGUGGGAAAUAGUUGAGCAAAUAUAUGUACGUAAGAAUUAAUUCAAGUAGUUGGAAAAGCACAGUAUCAAGUAUGCAACCAACUGAUAAAAGAGUAA
Corticium candelabrum is the source of this 867-nucleotide long non-coding RNA. RefSeq lists it as uncharacterized. NCBI's taxonomy places the organism in Eukaryota, Metazoa, Porifera, Homoscleromorpha, Homosclerophorida, Plakinidae. The transcript has 2 exons. The record is from RefSeq and is a predicted model, not a curated record.